RNAcentral lists this transfer RNA (62 nucleotides) under Sorineuchora formosana. RNAcentral describes it as "tRNA-Ser". The record is from RNAcentral. Lineage: Eukaryota; Metazoa; Arthropoda; Insecta; Blattodea; Pseudophyllodromiidae.
AGUUAAUAAAUAUAGUUGUGUCUUGAAAACACAUAAGAGGAGUUAAAACCUCCUGUUAACUU